RNAcentral lists this ribosomal RNA (465 nucleotides) under uncultured bacterium. RNAcentral's name for it is "partial 16S ribosomal RNA". It matches the Rfam family "Bacterial small subunit ribosomal RNA", at positions 28 to 507 of the family's 1533-position model. The record is from RNAcentral.
GACGAACGCUGGCGGCGUGCUUAACACAUGCAAGUCGAACGGAAAGGCCCUGCUUGCAGGGUACUCGAGUGGCGAACGGGUGAGUAACACGUGGGUGAUCUGCCCUGCACUUCGGGAUAAGCCUGGGAAACUGGGUCUAAUACCGGAUAGGAGCCAUUUUUAGUGUGGUGGUUGGAAAGUUUUUUCGGUGUAGGAUGAGCUCGCGGCCUAUCAGCUUGUUGGUGGGGUAAUGGCCUACCAAGGCGGCGACGGGUAGCCGGCCUGAGAGGGUGGACGGCCACAUUGGGACUGGGAUACGGCCCAGACUCCUACGGGAGGCAGCAGUGGGGAAUAUUGCACAAUGGGCGCAAGCCUGAUGCAGCGACGCCGCGUGGGGGAUGACGGCCUUCGGGUUGUAAACUCCUUUCGCUAGGGACGAAGCUUUUUGUGACGGUACCUAGAGAAGAAGCACCGGCUAACUACGUG